GCUAUUUCAAAAGAAUAUAUUUUCUCAAGGGCUGUGACAGCGUAUGCCUUCAAAAUCAGUAUAAAAAAAUUAUCAUUAUCGUAUAUAAAAUUAUUACUUCAGUGCAACAACAAAAUUUAAAAAAUAUUUUUCCAUCUAUCAAAAUUUGCCUAACAAAGUGGAGGGACAGAGCUCAAGGCUACUGACUAUUUAUUGUUCACUGUAAAGAUGGUUCUAAUUUUUAUAAAUAAAUAAGCAGAGAUGACUAGAGCUACUGACUAUUU
RNAcentral lists this long non-coding RNA (263 nucleotides) under Olea europaea (common olive). RNAcentral's name for it is "long non-coding RNA (OEUR_LNC013560)". Lineage: Eukaryota; Viridiplantae; Streptophyta; Magnoliopsida; Lamiales; Oleaceae. The record is from RNAcentral.